CAGGAAGACAAAAUACUAACCAAUGAGGGGAAAAUAUGCAAAAGACAAAACAAGGGACUCAUGGGUUCUCACCAUGACUGCAAGUUACGUGCUAAACUUGGGUUGCUAACACCACAGCUGGUUGCUUGUGUUUUCCUCAGGAGACAGUGGUUGAAAUCACCUGUACCCCCGCAAUUAACCAGCAUCUAAGCAGUAAUCUAGGCAGGAAAUGGAGACUAUCUAUCGAGACGGACACGGCUGUAACUCUCAGGAUCGAGCAAAGAGGGGCACCGGCACAUCCGUCCUGCACGGACCCAGCACCGCAUCCCGCCGCUCAGGGAGCCGCACCGCCGCAGCCAGGCUGAAACAGGUCAUCCUCACCACCACUGAUCCU
This 373-nucleotide long non-coding RNA is filed under the name Corvus moneduloides (New Caledonian crow). RNAcentral describes it as "lncRNA (ENSCMUG00000017029.1)". Lineage: Eukaryota; Metazoa; Chordata; Aves; Passeriformes; Corvidae. The record is from RNAcentral.